This 23-nucleotide small nuclear RNA is filed under the name Arabidopsis thaliana (thale cress). RNAcentral describes it as "snRNA_09878". Lineage: Eukaryota; Viridiplantae; Streptophyta; Magnoliopsida; Brassicales; Brassicaceae. The record is from RNAcentral.
AUCCGGUUCGUAGACGGUUUUGU